GCAUAACGCGAAGAACCUUACCAAGGCUUGACAUACACGAGAACAUCCCAGAAAUGGGGGACUCUUUGGACACUCGUGAACAGGUGGUGCAUGGUUGUCGUCAGCUCGUGUCGUGAGAUGUUGGGUUAAGUCCCGCAACGAGCGCAACCCUCGUUCUAUGUUGCCAGCACGUAAUGGUGGGAACUCAUGGGAUACUGCCGGGGUCAACUCGGAGGAAGGUGGGGAUGACGUCAAAUCAUCAUGCCCCUUAUGUCUUGGGCUUCACGCAUGCUACAAUGGCCGGUACAAAGGGCUGCAAUACCGUGAGGUGGAGCGAAUCCCAAAAAGCCGGUCCCAGUUCGGAUUGAGGUCUGCAACUCGACCUCAUGAAGUCGGAGUCGCUAGUAAUCGCAGAUCAGCAACGCUGCGGUGAAUACGUUCCCGGGUCUUGUACACACCG
RNAcentral lists this ribosomal RNA (439 nucleotides) under uncultured bacterium. RNAcentral's name for it is "bacterial SSU rRNA". It matches the Rfam family "Bacterial small subunit ribosomal RNA", at positions 954 to 1392 of the family's 1533-position model. The record is from RNAcentral.